Molecule: ribosomal RNA, 622 nt
Filed under: uncultured bacterium
Lineage: Bacteria
Description: bacterial SSU rRNA
Rfam family: Bacterial small subunit ribosomal RNA
Source: RNAcentral
CCUACGGGAGGCAGCAGUGGGGAAUAUUGGACAAUGGGCGAAAGCCUGAUCCAGCAAUUCCGCGUGUGUGAAGAAGGCCUUCGGGUUGUAAAGCACUUUAGUUGGGGAAGAAACAGCUUGGCCACACCAAGCCUUGACGGUACCCAAAGAAUAAGCACCGGCUAACUCUGUGCCAGCAGCCGCGGUAAUACAGAGGGUGCAAGCGUUAAUCGGAUUUACUGGGCGUAAAGGGUGCGUAGGUGGUUUUGUAAGUCGGAUGUGAAAGCCUGGGGCUCAACCUCAGAAUUGCACUCGAUACUGCAAGACUAGAGUUCGGUAGAGGGCGGCGGAAUUCCCGGUGUAGCGGUGAAAUGCGUAGAUAUCGGGAGGAACAUCAAUGGCGAAGGCAGCCGCCUGGGCCUGAACUGACACUGAGGCACGAAAGCGUGGGUAGCAAACAGGAUUAGAUACCCUGGUAGUCCACGCUGUAAACGAUGAGAACUUGACGUUGGUUCGUUUUACGAAUCGGUGUCGCAGCUAACGCGAUAAGUUCUCCGCCUGGGGAGUACGGCCGCAAGGUUGAAAACUUAAAGAGUAAGUUAGACGGUCGNGAGACGUCGACGACGACGACGACGAGGAGGAG